CCUACGGGGGGCUGCAGUGGGGAAUAUUGCACAAUGGGCGCAAGCCUGAUGCAGCCAUGCCGCGUGUGUGAAGAAGGCCUUCGGGUUGUAAAGCACUUUCAGCGGGGAGGAAGGCGUUACGGUUAAUAACCUUGUCGAUUGACGUUACCCGCAGAAGAAGCACCGGCUAACUCCGUGCCAGCAGCCGCGGUAAUACGGAGGGUGCAAGCGUUAAUCGGAAUUACUGGGCGUAAAGCGCACGCAGGCGGUCUGUCAAGUCGGAUGUGCAAUCCCCGGGCUCAACCUGGGAACUGCAUUCGAAACUGGCAGGCUAGAGUCUUGUAGAGGGGGGUAGAAUUCCAGGUGUAGCGGUGAAAUGCGUAGAGAUCUGGAGGAAUACCGGUGGCGAAGGCGGCCCCCUGGACAAAGACUGACGCUCAGGUGCGAAAGCGUGGGGAGCAAACAGGAUUAGAUACCCGAGUAGUC
This 465-nucleotide ribosomal RNA is filed under the name uncultured Klebsiella sp. RNAcentral describes it as "bacterial SSU rRNA". It matches the Rfam family "Bacterial small subunit ribosomal RNA", at positions 338 to 795 of the family's 1533-position model. Lineage: Bacteria; Pseudomonadati; Pseudomonadota; Gammaproteobacteria; Enterobacterales; Enterobacteriaceae. The record is from RNAcentral.